AUCGAAAGCCCGAGGCGAGAGUGAAAGCGGAGACGCGCGCCCGCUUCGUGCGGCGCGCGUCGCGGCGCGAUCCCGCCCGCCCCGCCGGGGGGCGCAGCGCCCGCCCGCGUCGUCCGGUCGUCGUCGUUCGCGGCGGCGGCGCGGUGAGGCGGAGCCCGAGCGCGAGCGACGAGACCCGAAAGAUGGUGAACUAUGCCUGAGCAGGGCGACGCCAGAGGAAACUCUGGUGGAGGCCCGCAGCGCUUCUGACGUGCAAAUCGAUCGUCGUACUCGGGUAUAGGGGCGAAAGACUAAUCGAACCAUCUAGUAGCUGGUUCCCUCCGAAGUUUCCCUCAUGAUAGCCGGCGCUCGCUCGAGAAGCAGUUUCAUCCGGUAAAGCGAAUGAUUAGAGGCCUCGGGGACGAAACGUCCUCGACCUAUUCUCAAACUUUAAAUGGGUGAGAAGCCCGGCUCGCCCGAUCGGAGCCGCGGCGUCCACUAGUCGAAUGCACGAGCG
This 496-nucleotide ribosomal RNA is filed under the name Scutopus ventrolineatus. RNAcentral's name for it is "partial 28S ribosomal RNA". It matches the Rfam family "Eukaryotic large subunit ribosomal RNA", at positions 699 to 1128 of the family's 3401-position model. The record is from RNAcentral. Lineage: Eukaryota; Metazoa; Mollusca; Caudofoveata; Limifossorida; Scutopodidae.